RNAcentral lists this ribosomal RNA (445 nucleotides) under uncultured bacterium. RNAcentral's name for it is "partial 16S ribosomal RNA". It matches the Rfam family "Bacterial small subunit ribosomal RNA", at positions 29 to 507 of the family's 1533-position model. The record is from RNAcentral.
AACGAACGCUGGCGGCAGGCUUAACACAUGCAAGUCGAACGAGCUGGGGGCUUCGGUCCCCGAUGCUAGUGGCGCACGGGUGAGUAACACGUGGGAAUAUGCCCUUUAGUACGGAAUAACCAAGGGAAACUUUGGCUAAUACCGUAUACGCCCUUCGGGGGAAAGAUUUAUCGCUAAAGGAUUAGCCCGCGUCUGAUUAGGUAGUUGGUGAGGUAAUGGCUCACCAAGCCGAGGAUCAGUAGCUGGUCUGAGAGGAAGAUCAGCCACACUGGGACUGAGACGCAGCCCAGACUCCUACGGGAGGCAGCAGUGGGGAAUAUAGGACAAUGGGGGCAGCCCUGAUCCAGCCAUGCCGCGUGAGUUAAGAUGUCCGUCGGGAAGUAAAGCUCUUUCGACGGGGACGAUGAUGACGGUACCCGUAUAAGAAGCCCCGGCAAACUUCGUG